GUUAAUGUUUUCAUCCCUAUUUCAUUUGAAACAGAAUGAUCUGCCAUUUCCUGCCAGGAGAGGCAGAGCUUCCUUCUGCAGAUGAAGAAGGUGGUGAUGCUGCUGGAGAAACCUGGCAGGCUUCUGGUCUCUGUAUGUACAAAGAUGGAGAACAGCUGGAAAUCAAAGGAGAAGGAGAAUCCUCUUCCUAUCCUCUUGCUCUUCUGAGUGCCAACACUUUUCCAUGACAGCAAGGUCAAGAGUCCUCCAGCCUCUUUCACAGGGACAUGAAUCACACUUACAAGGACCACCCAGAGUCUGCCUCUACCACUGUCGCUGUGAAUAUCAGCCUUCCCACAAAUGGAUCUGGGAAAGAAACAAGCAUUUGGAUCACAGCGCCUGCUAAUAAUGUUCAUUAGGUUCCAUGUACCAGUAUCUUAAGUGAGGCAUUUUCAAUACUUUCCACAAAUACCAGAAUGGGUGACUGACGUUUUUACUCUGAUUUCCUCAAAAAUAAUUGCAUAUGGUUAUGGGUAGACAGUGCCGCUGGGUGUAUUUUUGUGUGUGUG
Long non-coding RNA from Fukomys damarensis (Damara mole-rat), 548 nucleotides. RefSeq lists it as uncharacterized. Lineage: Eukaryota; Metazoa; Chordata; Mammalia; Rodentia; Bathyergidae. The transcript has 3 exons. The record is from RefSeq and is a predicted model, not a curated record.